AAAGUGGAUUAGUGGCGCACGGGUGAGUAAUGCAUAGGUUAUGUGCCCCAUAGUCUGGGAUAGCCACUGGAAACGGUGAUUAAUACCGGAUACUCCUUACGAGGGAAAGUUUUUCGCUAUGGGAUCAGCCUAUGUCCUAUCAGCUAGUUGGUGAGGUAAUGGCUCACCAAGGCUAUGACGGGUAUCCGGCCUGAGAGGGUGAACGGACACACUGGAACUGAGACACGGUCCAGACUCCUACGGGAGGCAGCAGUAGGGAAUAUUGCUCAAUGGGCGAAAGCCUGAAGCAGCAACGCCGCGUGGAGGAUGAAGGUUUUAGGAUUGUAAACUCCUUUUGUUAGAGAAGAUU
This 349-nucleotide ribosomal RNA is filed under the name uncultured Helicobacter sp. RNAcentral describes it as "bacterial SSU rRNA". It matches the Rfam family "Bacterial small subunit ribosomal RNA", at positions 84 to 450 of the family's 1533-position model. Lineage: Bacteria; Pseudomonadati; Campylobacterota; Epsilonproteobacteria; Campylobacterales; Helicobacteraceae. The record is from RNAcentral.